This 829-nucleotide ribosomal RNA is filed under the name Shigella flexneri. RNAcentral's name for it is "partial 23S ribosomal RNA". It matches the Rfam family "Bacterial large subunit ribosomal RNA", at positions 1 to 865 of the family's 2925-position model. The record is from RNAcentral. Lineage: Bacteria; Pseudomonadati; Pseudomonadota; Gammaproteobacteria; Enterobacterales; Enterobacteriaceae.
GUUGUGAGGUUAAGCGACUAAGCGUACACGGUGGAUGCCCUGGCAGUCAGAGGCGAUGAAGGACGUGCUAAUCUGCGAUAAGCGUCGGUAAGGUGAUAUGAACCGUUAUAACCGGCGAUUUCCGAAUGGGGAAACCCAGUGUGAUUCGUCACACUAUCAUUAACUGAAUCCAUAGGUUAAUGAGGCGAACCGGGGGAACUGAAACAUCUAAGUACCCCGAGGAAAAGAAAUCAACCGAGAUUCCCCCAGUAGCGGCGAGCGAACGGGGAGCAGCCCAGAGCCUGAAUCAGUGUGUGUGUUAGUGGAAGCGUCUGGAAAGGCGUGCGAUACAGGGUGACAGCCCCGUACACAAAAAUGCACAUACUGUGAGCUCGAUGAGUAGGGCGGGACACGUGGUAUCCUGUCUGAAUAUGGGGGGACCAUCCUCCAAGGCUAAAUACUCCUGACUGACCGAUAGUGAACCAGUACCGUGAGGGAAAGGCGAAAAGAACCCCGGCGAGGGGAGUGAAAAAGAACCUGAAACCGUGUACGUACAAGCAGUGGGAGCACGCUUAGGCGUGUGACUGCGUACCUUUUGUAUAAUGGGUCAGCGACUUAUAUUCUGUAGCAAGGUUAACCGAAUAGGGGAGCCGAAGGGAAACCGAGUCUUAACUGGGCGUUAAGUUGCAGGGUAUAGACCCGAAACCCGGUGAUCUAGCCAUGGGCAGGUUGAAGGUUGGGUAACACUAACUGGAGGACCGAACCGACUAAUGUUGAAAAAUUAGCGGAUGACUUGUGGCUGGGGGUGAAAGGCCAAUCAAACCGGGAGAUAGCUGGUUCUCCCCGAAAG